AAAUUGAUUAAAUAACUGAGAUAAUGCCUAGCAAUACUGUUUACCAUGUCAAGCAAGAGCCGGAUAGAAAAAGGUCACUAUAAGAGAAAGUAGGGUCAUUAUGGGAAAUUCACUCCAUCUAAUCAAUAAAAGUCCCGUCCCACCAUCUCCCCUUCAAGUGAGUACCCAAGCAGCAACUGCAACAUCGCAGCACGGCAGCCAUUCAACCCCCUCCCUCCUUUUCUCUCUCUACCACCCAAGAGGGGAGAAGAAACCGAGAGGAGAAAACUAAAAGAAUCUCCACCCUCCAAGAAGUCCAUCUCCAAUCCCCCUAUCUUUCUUCCGGAUGGCCCAGCUGGUUCAGGAGUAAUGUGAGGGAGGGAAAACCAAGACCAAAACCAAAAAGAGAAGGGAUGAAAGAUAAGAGUGGCUUCAGGCGUCUAUCAAGCCAACCAAAUCCCUCCUCUCUCUCUCUCUCCCCACCCAAAACAAAACUAUUGCCCCUCCGCAGGUCAGGAAACUCUCCACCUCUCUUCCAUCAAGGGGGAAGACUCGUAGCCAGCCCCUGAUCCCGUUUUAUAUGGGGCCUUUGCUUCUUUUUGGCCAGCCUCCCGGG
This 595-nucleotide long non-coding RNA is filed under the name Phoenix dactylifera (date palm). RNAcentral describes it as "long non-coding RNA (PDAC_LNC001094)". The record is from RNAcentral. Lineage: Eukaryota; Viridiplantae; Streptophyta; Magnoliopsida; Arecales; Arecaceae.